This is a non-coding RNA of Xyrichtys novacula (pearly razorfish), 501 nucleotides long. NCBI's taxonomy places the organism in Eukaryota, Metazoa, Chordata, Actinopteri, Labriformes, Labridae. The record is from the annotation of a GenBank genome assembly.
GCACUCUCAGGCCACGAGGAGAGUCCCACGCCAGUCGGAGAAGACGGGGCGUUUAAUGGCGCUCCGUCACAUCACCAGUCUAACAAGUGGACUAGAGGUACAUGAAAUACUAGUUUACAAAUUUGUAAAAAUGUGUAAGAGAACAUUUUGUCUGGAUACAAAAAAGAAAGCACAACAGUCAAACGGUCCAGGACAGACAGAAAAUAUCUUGAAAGCGACCUCAAACACAGUCUAGCCACAUUUCAGGUAUGUGAAGUGUAUUUGAAACAGGAAAUUUUUCUGUUUUUGCAGUUUUCAGCCUCAGGCUCCCUUAAAGUUAAUGGUCCUGGACUAAACCAACCAGAGGAGGUCAGAGCAGAAGUUUGGAAAGUAUGUGACAAUGACAUUUUUUCUUUCCUGUUUUCUCUCGCAGUUGUCAAAGAGAUAUCCUGAGGUAGAUGUUCACUGUUGCUUUGUCUGAAGCUUUGUUUCAGAAAACAGUCACUGCAGUGGAGUUUUGAG